UACGUAGGGGGCGAGCGUUGUCCGGAAUCAUUGGGCGUAAAGGGUGCGUAGGCGGACGCUUAAGUCAGAUGUGAAAGGCGCCGGCUUAACCGGCGAGUGGCAUUUGAAACUGGGUGUCUUGAGUGCAGGAGAGGGAAGCGGAAUUCCUAGUGUAGCGGUGAAAUGCGUAGAUAUUAGGAGGAACACCAGUGGCGAAGGCGGCUUCCUGGACUGUAACUGACGCUGAGGCACGAAAGCUGGGGGAG
This 245-nucleotide ribosomal RNA is filed under the name uncultured Eubacteriales bacterium. Its description in RNAcentral is "uncultured Clostridiales bacterium partial 16S ribosomal RNA". It matches the Rfam family "Bacterial small subunit ribosomal RNA", at positions 524 to 768 of the family's 1533-position model. The record is from RNAcentral. Lineage: Bacteria; Bacillati; Bacillota; Clostridia; Eubacteriales.